Molecule: ribosomal RNA, 497 nt
Filed under: uncultured bacterium
Lineage: Bacteria
Description: partial 16S ribosomal RNA
Rfam family: Bacterial small subunit ribosomal RNA
Source: RNAcentral
GAUGAACGCUGGCGGCGUGCCUAAUACAUGCAAGUCGAGCGAACAGACGAGGAGCUUGCUCCUCUGACGUUAGCGGCGGACGGGUGAGUAACACGUGGAUAACCUACCUAUAAGACUAGGAUAACUUCGGGAAACCGGAGCUAAUACCGGAUAAUAUAUUGAACCGCAUGGUUCAAUAGUGAAAGACGGUUUUGCUGUCACUUAUAGAUGGAUCCGCGCCGCAUUAGCUAGUUGGUAAGGUAACGGCUUACCAAGGCAACGAUGCGUAGCCGACCUGAGAGGGUGAUCGGCCACACUGGAACUGAGACACGGUCCAGACUCCUACGGGAGGCAGCAGUAGGGAAUCUUCCGCAAAGGGCGAAAGCCUGACGGAGCAACGCCGCGUGAGUGAUGAAGGUCUUCGGAUCGUAAAACUCUGUUAUUAGGGAAGAACAAAUGUGUAAGUAACUAUGCACGUCUUGACGGUACCUAAUCAGAAAGCCACGGCUAACUACGUG